Molecule: long non-coding RNA, 493 nt
Filed under: Androctonus crassicauda
Lineage: Eukaryota; Metazoa; Arthropoda; Arachnida; Scorpiones; Buthidae
Source: RNAcentral
UAUAUAAACUAUUAUUAUUUACAAUUAAUUUCAUACAUAUAUACAGGACAAUUUAAAACUAUUGUAUAAAACUAAGAUGAGAUUAAGGAUGUCAUUAAGACAAGUGAAAAUAUUCUAGUGAAUUAGCAAAUAUUUGAGAAGUUUCUGUUGUUUACAAAAAUGGACAAAAUCCUAGUAGUUCAGUUGCAUCUGAAGAAUUCCUUGAAAAUUCACUCUAUAUAUACCGUGAGUUUUUCUUGAAACCGAACACUCAGAUUUUUGGCAUCGAGCCAAUUCUGAUGGAUCUAUCAUGUCAGGAAUCACUUGCUACGAAAAUUUAUUUUAUAUUUUUAAUUCCAAUGGCCAUGCAUUUGAACAUAUUGGCUGUUUUGAACAGAUUCAAAUCAGUGAAUGUUUUCAGAGGUUAUGCCAGUGCGAAGAGUCAGACGACCCUGGAAGACCGGGCGAUGGCCAUAAGCGGCCAAGGAAGCAGUUUCGGACCAGCGGUCAAGAG